RNAcentral lists this long non-coding RNA (4169 nucleotides) under Homo sapiens (human). Its description in RNAcentral is "HSALNT0105998". The record is from RNAcentral. Lineage: Eukaryota; Metazoa; Chordata; Mammalia; Primates; Hominidae.
GCUGCACAAGCCUAAGCCGCACACGCCUAAGCCGCAGCAGUCAAGCAUUCCUACAGGACUUCCUCCAACAGGAUCUUGCUUCAAGUGCCAGAAAUCUGGCCACUGGGCCAAGGAAUGCCCGCAGCCCGGAAUUCCUCCCAAGCCAUGUCCCAUCUGUGCAGGGACCCACUGGAAAUCAGACUGCCCAGCUCUCCCGGCAGCCACUUCUAGAGCCCCUAAAGCUCUAGCCCAAGGCUCUCUGACUGACUCCUUCCCAGAUCUGCUCGGCUUAGUGGUUGAAGACUGAUGCGGCCUGAUCACCUUGGAAACCCCCUGGACCAUCACGGAUGCCGAGCUUCGGGUAACUCUCACAGUGGAGGCCUGCCUGCACCCAGGUGAUUAAAAAGCUUUAUUGCUCAUACAAAGCCUGUUUGGUGGUCUCUUCACAUGGACAUGCCUGAAAACUGCCACACCUGAGGUGCAGGGAUAAGAAGGGUGGCACAGGGAUCCCAGCCUGAGGCUGUUUCUGAAGGCUAUACAGGAGGCAUGGCACCAGCAUCUGCUCAGCUUCUGGGGAGCCCUCAGGAAGCUUCCAAUCAUGGUGGAAGGUGAAGAGGGAGCUGUCAUCUCACAUCGUGAGAGCAGGAACAAGAGUCUGAGGGACUUCUACACUGCUGGUGUGAAUGUAAACUAGUACAACCACUACGGAAAACAGUGUGGAGAAAAGUAGAACUACAAUUUGAUCCAGCAAUCCCACUACUGGGCAUCUACCCAGAGGAAAAGAAGUCAUUAUAUGAAAAAGAUACUUGCACAUGCAUGUUUAUAGCAGCGCAAUUUUCAAUUGCAAAAACGUGGAACCAACCCAAAUGCCCACCGAUUAACAAGUGGAUAAAGAAACUGUGGUGUAUAUAUGAUAGAAUACUACUCAGCCAUAAAUGGAAUGAAUUAAUGGCAUUUACAGUGACCUGGAUGAGACUGGAGACUAUUAUUCUAAGUGAAGUAACUCAGGGAUGGAAAACCAAACAUCAUAUUCUUUCACUCCUAUGAGGAUGCAAAGGUAUAGGAAUGACACAAUAGACUUUGGGGACUCAGGGGAAAGGUGGGAAGGGGGUGAGGGAUAAAAGACUACAAAUUGGGUGCAGUAUGUACUGCUUGGGUGAUGGGUGCACCAAAAUCUCACAAGUCACCACCAAAGAACUUACUCAUGUAAUCAAAUACCAUCUGCUCCCCAAUAACGUACGGAAAUAAAAAAAAUUAAAAAAAAGAGUCUGAAGGGGAAGAUGCCACACACUCUUAAACAGCCAGAUCUUGCAAUAACUCACUCACUAUUGCAAGGAUAGCAUGAAGAGGACGGCGCUAAACCAUUCUUGAGAAAUCCACCUCCAUGAUACAAUCACCUCCCACCACGGCCCACCUCCAACACUGGGGAUUACAAUUUAACGUGAGACGUAGAGAGGACAACAUCCAAACUAUAUCAAUAGUAUUUGUUGCAUUUUUUUGCAUUUCCUAAUAAAAACUUAAAUAUGUGAGCUAUCCAAACAAACAUAUCCAAAUGGGCCCCAAUAUUUAUAACUUAUAAUAUGGUAGUGACUCAUGAGGAAGAAAUGAUAGGGGCAGGAGGGCAUUUGAGAAGGCAACAGUGUACAGGGCUCUGCAGGAGGCCCUGAGGUCACACAGUACACUGGAAAAGACUCCAGACUCCCUGGGAUGGAGGCUGCAGGGAUGGGGAAGAAAAGUGGAUCCAGGAGGCCUGGGUUCUAGUCUUCCUCCACAGCUAAAAACUUAGUGCUCUGGACAAGCCCUUCAUCUCCCUGGGCCUCAGGUGUCUCAUCUAUAAAAUGAGCAUGCUUGGACCUUAUCUGGAAGAAAUGCUUUCCUGAUGUUCUUUCCAGGGCUUGCCAUGCUUAUUUCUUGCACUCUAGGAUUAAGGACAAGUAUUUUCAGUUCUCCCUACUACUGGCUGGCUGUGUGAGCCAUUUCUCUGCAAACAGGAGUAUUCUUGCUGUUCCUCUGGUCAAUCCAGAAGCUCAUGGGAAAGUGCUCUGCAAUCUUGAACAGGAAGCAAGGAAUGUGUCAUCCCUACUAAGAUCACCUUUCCUCUUCUCCUGUUCUCAGAGAUCCCCAGAAGCACCCCUGGGUCAACAGCCACCUUUGCCGGUAUUGACUGGGAAGAGUCCCCAAGAGUGGUAUUGGGUCCAGGCAGUUGUAGCACAUGAACCCUUGUGAGUGGAGGUUGACCUUCAGGAUGGUGGUGCUCACCCCGCUGAAGGAUUCUGGGCAAACUAAGCAAAGGGUUAGUUUACAAUUUUCCCUCCUGGUUUUUUUUUUUUUUUUUCCCUUGGAGGCUUAAAGAAGAACAAAUUCUUAUCCGCAGUAUCCUGUUCCCAGACUCCCAUCUUCUUGCCUCCCCAUGGGUCCUUAGCCUCCCUUAAAUCCUUUAGAAAAGAGCUGGCUCCCAGAAGAUACGGGGAGAACUGCAAUUUGCCCUUUUCCAAAGCCUAUCAUUCAUUCUGGGUCUUUUUCUCAUCCCCUCGCUUCCAGUUCUAAUUUGGUGCCUGGGGCCGCUCUCUUCUUGAAUGAUUAGAACCAGAGGGCAAUCAAAAAGAAACGAACUUAAUGCAGAGGAGAGAGGGGAGCCAGCAGCUUUGGGGACAUUUCUCUUCCCUCAAGGGAUGAGGUAGAUUUUCCUAAAUCUAUAAUUAACAAGAUGAAAAAAGACACUUCAAGAAUUCAUAACUCUCGGAAAAUACUCCAGUUUGGGAAACACUGGUCUGGAACUUGUGGUGAGUCAGCUCUUGAUUCGUGAAGACAGAGAUGCACAGUUACCACAUUGAGAAGAUAGUAGAUGAUGUAAACCCAUUGGAGAAAUGGAAACUUUCCCAUGGGAAAGGCUGCAUGGGUGGAGGAAGCAGUCCUCUGGUGGAAUAGAAUGAUAACAUACCAUUCAUCACAGCCCCAGGUAUUGUGCUAAGUGCUUCACAUUUAACUCAUACAACCACCCAUGAAGUAGGUCCAAUUAUUAGCCCCAUUUUGCAGGUGAAGAAAUAGAACCAUGCAAAUCUAUGCAGUUUUCCUAAGACCCUACAGCCAGUUAAAGCCACCGAAGCAACAAAUGCUGACAUCUAGAAGAAUGUGUGAAUAGGUGGCUGGAGUCAACAAACGCCUAAUUAAUCAAUUGGUGUCAUCUUAUACACCCAUCCCUCCAAAAGUUGCUAUUAUUUACUUUCCCUGGCCCCAGAAAAAGGGAGACCCCAGGACAGUGUCCUGGACUGGAAUUAGGACUGCUCCAUUCUAUAAACAGGUCAGCCCCUCAUUCUGUGUGUGACCUUGAGUGAGUGAGACCCUUCCUGAUCCUAGGUCUUGGUCUCUACAUCUGUCAGAGGAGGUAGUGAGACCAGCUGGCUUCGAAAGUUCAACCCAGUCCCACCGUUCCAGUACAUGCCAGUCUACCUGACUCCAUGGGGGAGGUUUUGGGGGUGGGGUGGAUCUUCACGUUGCAGCUGCUGUUUAUGACUUUUCCAAGGCCCCUCCUGCCUGGGCUCCUCGCCCCCGUGCUUGGCAUGCUUGGCUCUGUCUUGCAGCGAAGCGAGCUGUGUAGGAGUUUCUAGCUGCCUGUCUCUUUUGGGUUCUCCCUUUUGGGAUGUCUUUUCACACCUCCAAGUGCUGGGUGGGAGUGGACGAAUGCCACAUGUUUGGCUCUGAUGCCUUCCUUUCCCCUCUGUGGGAUGCUUCCAGCCCAAGAUCUGAGCAUGGAUGCCUCUGUGCUGACCCUUUGUGAGGCUGCUGGGUCAUGUCUGCAGAGCAGCAACCCAUCACCACAGCACUCUUCCUUACUCCCGGAAGGCCAGCAGAAGCUGCUCCUUUGCUGGAGCUUGUCCCCACCCAAUGGAGGGGGCUGAUUAAUUAUGUAGCCUCAGGCAAGUCACAUCUCCUCAUUGGGCCUCAGUUUUUACAUUUGUAAAAUGAAAGGAUUAGACCAGACAGGCCCCUAGGAUACUCCCAACUCUAAUGUUGUGCAGUUUAUUUCAUUUCUGUUUGUUUCAUGUCAUUCCCAGUGCCCUCAUAUCCUUCGUGUCUUGUAGACAUCAUAUCUGCCAGCUGAGAUUUUUAGCUGCUUCAAACACCCCACUGGAGGGACAUAUCUCAGCAUGCUAAGAUGAAUAUUUUGUUGGAAUAACUUGCUAUUAAAA